GAGUUUGAUCCUGGCUCAGGAUGAACGCUGGCGGCAUGCCUAAUACAUGCAAGUCGAACGAGAGGAAGGAAAGCUUGCUUUUCUGAAUCUAGUGGCGAACGGGUGAGUAACACGUAGGUAACCUGCCCAUGUGCCCGGGAUAACUUCUGGAAACGGAUGCUAAAACCGGAUAGGUAGCAGACAAGCAUUUGACUGCUAUUAAAGUGGCCUUGGCCAUGAACAUGGAUGGACCUGCGGUGCAUUAGCUAGUUGGUGAGGUAACGGCCCACCAAGGCGACGAUGCAUAGCCGGCCUGAGAGGGCGGACGGCCACAUUGGGACUGAGACACGGCCCAAACUCCUACGGGAGGCAGCAGUAGGGAAUUUUCGUCAAUGGGGGGAACCCUGAACGAGCAAUGCCGCGUGAGUGAGGAAGGUCUUCGGAUCGUAAAGCUCUGUUGUAAGAGAAAAACGGCACUCAUAGGGAAUGAUGAGUGAGUGAUGGUAUCUUACCAGAAAGUCACGGCUAACUACGUGCCAGCAGCCGCGGUAAUACGUAGGUGGCGAGCGUUAUCCGGAAUGAUUGGGCGUAAAGGGUGCGUAGGUGGCAGAUCAAGUCUGGAGUAAAAGGUAUGGGCUCAACCCGUACUGGCUCUGGAAACUGAUCAGCUAGAGAACAGAAGAGGACGGCGGAACUCCAUGUGUAGCGGUAAAAUGCGUAGAUAUAUGGAAGAACACCGGUGGCGAAGGCGGCCGUCUGGUCUGGAUUCUGACACUGAAGCACGAAAGCGUGGGGAGCAAAUAGGAUUAGAUACCCUAGUAGUCCACGCCGUAAACGAUGAGAACUAGGUGUUGGGGGAAUAACUCAGUGCCGCAGUUAACGCAGUAAGUUCUCCGCCUGGGGAGUAUGCACGCAAGUGUGAAACUCAAAGGAAUUGACGGGGGCCCGCACAAGCGGUGGAG
Molecule: ribosomal RNA, 941 nt
Filed under: human gut metagenome
Description: bacterial SSU rRNA
Rfam family: Bacterial small subunit ribosomal RNA
Source: RNAcentral